Molecule: long non-coding RNA, 2569 nt
Filed under: Homo sapiens (human)
Lineage: Eukaryota; Metazoa; Chordata; Mammalia; Primates; Hominidae
Description: HSALNT0096227
Source: RNAcentral
GCACUUCCGGCAGGCGGCGGGAGAAAAGAAAACCAGCUCUAAUAGGCUGGAGGGGGCAGGGAUGGAAAGGGUGCUGGUCCCGGGACCCUGGCUAAGCCCCCUCCCUUCAAGCCCGCAGGAGGAUCGCCCUCCGCCCUCCUGCUCCGGCCAAGCUAGGCCGCCGCGCUGGCUCCUCCCCGGUAUUCCUUCGGCCGCGCCGCAGGCCCUGUCCUGCCAGCUUGCAAGGUGCGCGGCUUCGCCUCCUCCUUCCAUCCUCCUCCGGCAGGCACACUCACCGCAUCCUCCCAGUUCUGCCUGUUGUAGGUGUUGGAACCCAGAGAGGUCGCCAUCUUGAGAGCGUCCGGAGGUAGCUGUAGCUUCCGAAUUGGGAGAGAGGACCGCCACAAUCCCGUCAAGCCCCGAGGCUAGCGCCGCGCCGGUCGGCGUCUUAUUUACGCGUCUAGGGCUUCUUCCGGGGCGGGGCCUUUGCGUCAUGACGUCGCCCGCUCUUGGAAUUUCUAAGCUUAACAAUUGGGGUCCUGGUAUAAUGCACCUGGAUGCUUCCUUCGAGUUUUUGCCUGCUUGGAAUGAAGGGCCACACGUACAGUUGAUUCAUUUAACAAUUGGGCGAAAGAAUAAAGGAAGACGUAAUGCAUCAGAGGCUGGGGUUAAAAUAGCGUUCGCUACCACUGAGGCGCUUAUUAUGCCAAACUCUGGGCGAACGUCUUGCGGUUCCAGUGUCUUAUUUAUUCGCAUAACCUCUCUGUAGGGCUCUCUGUAGGGCUGCCAGAUUCUGAUUCUGUCUCUCUCUCUCUCUCUCUCUCUCUCUCUCUCUCUCUGUCACUCACACACACACAUGCACACACACACACGCACGAAUUACAGAACGUCUAAAGUUGAAUUUCAGAUUAACGGCGAAUCGCUUUUUAAUUAUAAAUAUAUAUGGUACCUACUCGUCCUAAAGUAGGAUUCGUGGUUGACCUGAAAUUCACAUCACUUAACCAAUCGUCCUGUAUUUUAUCUGGUAACUCUACCCUGUAGGCAAGUAUGAUGAUCCCUCUUUUAUAGAAAAGAAAACAGGUUUAGAGAGAUUAACCUAAUCUCUCCUGAUAUAGCUCCUGGUUGUGGAGCUAAAAAGUGGUGAAGCCACAAAUUCAUUAGUACUGUUUCAUUUCCAGCUUCUGAAAUGACAAGGGUCUUACGAAUCAACAUAUGCAUUAUUUGAUUUUUGGAAUAACUCAUAACCACUCUGCCAAUAUUUUAUGAGUUUCAAGCCAUUCUGGUACCACUUUCAUACUUACCGUGUCAUCAAGCUACCUAACACAUUUAUUUAAAUCACCUCAUUAAAAAAAAAAGUUGAUUUAAAGUAUAAUUUACAUAAAGUUUUAUCCUUUUUAGUUUUGAAUUUUGUACAUACAUUCACUUACAGUCAAAUAUGGAAUUGUCUGUCAUCCCCAAAGUUCCCUUGUUUCUGUAGUUAGUCCACUUAUCCCAUACUCAAACCAUGGCAAUCACUAAUUUGUGUUCUGUCCCUAGUUUUGCCUUUUCCAGAAUGUCACAUAAGUGGAAUCCUAUAUAUCCUUUUGGAUCUGAUAUUUUUUCACUUAGUAUUUUGUAGUUGAGAUUCAUCCAUAUUAUUACAUGUAUCAAUAAUUUCUUCCUUUGUAUUACUGAGUAGAAUUCCAUUGUAUGGAUAUAUCAUACAAUUCACUUGCCAGUUGCUGGAUAUUUGGGUUGUUCCCAGAUUUUAGUGAAUAUAAAUAAAACCAUUAUAAACAUUCACAUACAGAUCGUUGUAUGGACAUUGGUUUUCAUUUUGCUUGUGUAAAUGCCUUAGAGUGAGAUUAUUUGAUCAUAUGGUAAGUAUAUCUUUUCCUUUAUAAGAAAGUCCUUGGGUUUAUCUGAGCUUCUUGGAUCUGUGAUUUGUUGUCUUUUAUUAUAUUUGGAAAAUUCUCAAGUAUCAUCUCUUCAGACUGUCUUCUGCCUGGUUUCUACAUCUGUGACUCCAAUUUCACAUGCCUUGUGAGGAGUGCAAGGUCAGAAAUAACAGAGUCCACGUACAUUUGUGUUUUUCCACAAUGCCAGACUUUUACUGAUGCUAUUUCAAUCACAAAAGCCACGAACUACAUGGAGUUUCCAAGAAAGCAAUUCUCCUUAGUACUUCCCACUCACUCAGCACUCAGAGUCUUGGACACACAGGCUCAAGGCACUCCACAGGUCAAUCAAUAUUGCAAAUCAUGCAUAAUGGUAUACUUAAUCAACAUAUAUAUUAUAGAGUGAACAUUCCACAAACAAAAUAACAUUUAACAUUAAGAGAAAAGAGAUAGGACCCUUUUCUCCUUUAAGUCUGGAGCCCUCAGAAUCAUCUCCUUUCCUUCCUUUUUCCCUCUUUCCUCCCCCAAUUUAUUUUUUAAUCUUUGUGGGACAUGACUUCUAGGAAUGAGCCUUCCUAGCAACAUGGAACAUGACUUCCUAGGAAUGAGCCUUCCUAGUAACGUGAGACCUGAAUUUCCUGGAAUAAACCAUCCUAGCGACAAGAAACCAGCUCAAAAAAGGAGGAAAAAGCGAACUGAGGCCAGGAACACAUAUU